AAUUCUUAAAGUGUUUAUUUUAUACCAUAAGCAAUUAAUUAUAUAUUAAUGACUAGUUACAAAAACUGAAAGCAUCAUAAAUUGCAGAGAAUUAGAAGAGACAUUAAAAUUAUAUAUUCCAGUGGUAUUAAAAUUUUUAUAGCAUCAACACUAUUUAUUCAGAUGAUAUCUGAUGUGAAAAACUGAUUAUAUAAAAUAUAAAAUGCUGGAUAAAAUAAUUUAAUAUGCUUUCAGAUAUAUAAGUCUGAAGAAAAUUAACAGAGGCCAAGGAACAUAAUGGAAUGUGGUUUCUGGAAUUUAUUAAGCAAUGAAGUUGCCAGAUGCCCUCAGGGAAUAGACAGAACCAAAGCACUAGAUCUCUUUCAUAUAAAAAUUAGGAGUUUGUGAAAAGUAGAGAAGUAGAUUGAAGAAUACCAAACACAAAGCUAAUCUUUGGAUGAAAUAAACAUGUUGGAAAGGUAAAAAAUAAAUAAAACUGCACUAAAAAAAAGCAAACCACAAAGAGAAUUCUAGACCUGCUGUUAUUUGGUGACUUAAGUAAAUGGCUAGCUAGAUAGAUAGAUAGAUAAAUCCAUUUUGAGAUAUAAUGGGCACUAUAACAAUGGCUUAGUAACAGAUUAGAGUUUGAACUUAACAGUGCCAACUCAAGAUUUGUGAUUUAAUUGAAGAGGAACUGGGCUUGCUGUGCUCCCAGGACCUGAGAAGAUCAAGAACAAUUUCUCCUGGAAGAACAACCAUGCAAUUCAUCCUCAAGAAUUACCACAGGGGCUGGCCUGGUGGUGCAGCAGUUAAGUGUGCACAUUCUGCUUUGAGGGCCCAGGUUCACUGGUUCGGAUCCCAGGUGUGGACAUGGCACUGCUUGGUAAGCCAUGCUGUGGUAGGCAUCCCACAUAUAAAGCAGAGGAAGAUGGGCAUGGAUGUUAGCUCAGGGCCAGUCUUCCUCAGCAAGAAAGAAGAGGAUUGGCAGCAGAUGUUAGCUCAGGGGACAUCUGAAACAUCUAACAACAGAACCAACCUCACAAGUACUUCCAAACUACAAUAGAUUUUAAAACAAUGCAGAACAAUCAUGUUUCUAUGUUUAAGGGAGUAAAAUAAGAAAAAUAAAGUAUAAAUUAGGAGCCCUAAACUGUUAUAAGUGAUCAGGAAGCCUUGACGGUUAGUCAAAUGGAAAUUUUAGAAACAAUGCACAAAAAUACACAUACACAAAUUUUUAAGUAACAGUGGUCUUAAACAGAAAAUUAGAUAGAGCAGAGAAGAAGAUUAAUAAAAUUGAAACUGGACACAAAGAAAGUAUAUGGAAUGAAGGACAAAGAAACAAAUAUACGGAAAAUACAUAACGAAUGAAAUAUAAUGAAAAGAAUUAGAAAACCCAAGGUCUAUGUCACAGAGUUUCUAGGAACAGAUUUUAGAAAGAAGUGAGUAGAGUCAGUUAAUAAAAUUCACCAAUCUUCAGAUUCAGAAAGUCCAAAGAAUCUUAAGCAGAAUAAAUAAAAAUAAAUCCAUGCCUAGUCACUUAAAUGUUAAACCACAGUUACACAGAGAAGGUAAAGAGAAAAGUGAUAAGCAGCCACAGAGAAAGAAGGUUUUCUGUAAUUGGAAAGAAAAUUAAAUGAUAAUUGACUUCUCAAGAACAGUAAUGGAAGUUAAAAGAAAAUGAAAUAAAAAUGUGUUGAGAGGAAACCACCUUAAACCAUAGAAACAACUGCACCAAGCGUUCAUUCACAAACGAGGGUAAGGAAAGUUUUUCAUAUAAACAAACAUAGAGCAUGCCUAAAUAUAAUU
Molecule: long non-coding RNA, 1782 nt
Organism: Equus caballus (horse)
Lineage: Eukaryota; Metazoa; Chordata; Mammalia; Perissodactyla; Equidae
Source: Ensembl